GACGCAGAACAGUGCGCUAGUUUGAUCGUCCUCACGAAGCCCCUAAAACCGCUUGUUCACGUGAAACAUCCAAGACCAAAAAGACCACCGAAGUCCCAUCUAGCGUUAUAUUACAUGGAGAAACAAAUUAAAAAUUGCAUGUUGUUCUCAAGCUUAAUUUAUUUCUGAUGGAAAAAAACCUGAAUUAUUUAAAUAAGUGUAAUUUAAGUGAUUUGAGAAGUCAAGGUUUUGAAUUCCGAAGAUUUGAUGAUACCUACACUCAAAGAUCUAAUAGGCGAUUAAUUGUUCAAGAUAUGCAAUAUAGAAAGUAAGCUUUGCGGGACCGGAUUUACAGCUUGCAGCACCUGGAGCACCAUCCCAUGUUAAUUUGUGAAGUAAAACAAGUGGUGCAGUAGCUGAAUCUGCGGCAAAUAUGACAAUAAAGAAAUACAGUUCAGUUAUAGAACAGAACCAUAUUUUUGAUACCGUUUGCAGACAUUUGGACCUUGGUGUGGGGAGGCCUAAUUUUGUGGAAUGCCUAGGAAAACGAAUAACCAACAAACAAGUUUGAUCAACUGGUUAUCGUUAGGAAAUGGAUCCAACUGAAGACUGGCGGCCCGGGAUCAUGGUGCAGUGAGACCACUUGAUUCACCCCAUUGCACAGAAGGCUUCAGUUACCAUCGACAAAGAGAGGCAAGUAACCCUGGACUGGUAUAGUGAUCGUCGUUAAUUCCGAAGAGGACCCAAAUAAAGGGAGAGAUCAGAGAUGCAAUGUUAACACAGUGGAAGUACUUGCUGUGCUACGAUUCAGGGAGCUACGGAAUAUGCAAGAUUGCUGUAGGUAACUGUAGCUAUUGCUACUGUUGUGAAACCGAGGUUUCUUGAUAGUUCUUCCCCAAAGGCAAGCACGAACAGUCAUUUGCACAACUUUUAUAUGAAAUAUAAAUAUAACAGAUUAUUAUCAUAACUUUGUGUUUUAUUUUUGUGUCUGUGUUCAAUACAAGCCUUUGUAAAACGCAGUAGGCAGCGGCGAUUUUACUAUAACGUAAUACAGUGUUUCCAAUUACUGUAGAUAAGGCAAAAUGGUAUAGGAGCAAUCGUCGAAUUCGGUGGGAGUAAUUCAGGAUUCGAUGUUUUAUGGUAAAAAUGGGCCUUGUAACAGUCGUCGCGAAAUUGGUCUAAAGAAGAAGGUUAUUCUUCAGAGUCUUUUUCAAACCGAGUACCGUGGUAAAACCAA
Molecule: long non-coding RNA, 1216 nt
Organism: Photinus pyralis (common eastern firefly)
Lineage: Eukaryota; Metazoa; Arthropoda; Insecta; Coleoptera; Lampyridae
Exons: 6
Source: RefSeq, a predicted model, not a curated record